UUCGAUAAAUUUUGCGAUGGUACUGUCCGGGCUGGUAGGCUCCAGUAAUUCGAUUUUCGUCUGUCCGACUUUGAAAAACGCUGUUUUCACUUUUUGGUCGGGCACUUCUUCAAUGCUGUAGCAUGUAAGUCCUAAUACCUGUUCAUAGUAGGGACGAUGUUCCUCAAUGCUGUUAACGGCAAUGCCAAGAUGCUCAAUGUGCGAAAUUUCCAUAGUAAAUCUUUAUUUAUAUGUUCGUAAUUAUCGCACAAAGGUAUGAAAUAAAAUUGAGAAAUGGGGUGAAAGGAAGGGGUACGAAAUAUCUAUUUUUUUUACAUCUUGUCAGGAGGAGGGAAAGCAUACUGCUUCCUGCCGAUCAUCCGGCAUAUAGGAUUGAGAAGACCUUUCAGCUCGGCCGUCAGUCGUGUACACGGGUGCCGAUCGGUUCACCGAGCAUCACUUUCUUCAGGUUUCCGACGGUAUCCAUAUCGAAUACGAUGAGCGGAAGGCCGUUUUCUUUGCACAUCGUCGUGGCCGUCAGGUCCAUCACCUUCAGGUUGCGACGAUAAAUUUCGUCGAACGUAAUUUCGUCGAAUUUGACGGCCGACGGGUCUUUCUCCGGGUCGGCCGUAUAGAUUCCGUCUACGCGUGUACCCUUGAGCAUCACGUCGGCUUCUACUUCGAUGCUGCGCAGCGAGGAGGCCGUGUCGGUAGUGAAGAACGGAUUGCCCGUGCCGCCGGCGAUAAUCACGACCUGUCCGGCUUCGAGACGUUCGACUGCCCGUGUCUUGCUGUAAUAUUCGCCGAUCGGUUCCAUGCGAAUGGCGGUCAUGACGUAAGCCUUGAUCCCCACGCCCUGAAGUGCCGAGCUUAGUGCCAAACUGUUGAUGACUGUGGCCAGCAUCCCCAUUUGAUCGCCUUUGACGCGAUCGAAGCCCUUCGUUGUACCGCUCAGUCCGCGGAAAAUGUUCCCCCCGCCGAUGACGAUCGCGAUCUGAAUCCCCAUAUCGGCAACCUCUUUGAUCUGGGUUGCAUAUUCUAUGAGGCGCACCUCGUCAAUACCGUAUCCUGUGUUACCCAUCAACGACUCGCCACUUAAUUUCAGUAAAAUCCGUUUGUAUCUCAUCAUGAUCGAUUCUUGUCUUGAAUUGCGGCAAACAUACAUAAAAUCUUUGGAAUAUACGCCAGUUUAAUCAAAAAGCAGAGACUUCAAUCCAAAAAGCAUCGAAGAAUCAUCCAUAAUCAUUGAUUGUCAGCCGAUUGAAGUUUAGAGCAUCCCUAUACGAUUUAUCAUUUAACCGCUGAAAUGGCUUUCAGACUCCCUUUAAAAAUAAAAAUAAACGUUCGACUUAAACUUUUUCAUUUAUUUUUGCACUCGCGUCUCUGAUAGGAAGUCACGGAUGAAAUGAAAAAGAUAAAUGACAUCGCCUCUCUCUAUAAUCUCUAUGUAGACCAUCUGUAUACGUAUGCCCUUUAUUUGGGCUUCGAUAAAGAGACAAUCAUGGAUGCCAUUCACGAUGUGUUCUGCAAAUUAGCUGCCGACCAAAAAAAACUUUACGAUGUAUCGAAUAUAAAAUUAUACCUUUUCAGAGCCCUAAAAAACAGACUGUACGACAUCUUUAAGACUCGACGCGAAUAUGUCGGGUUAUCCAUCAUCGAAUCACAAGAGAUGCCUUUCGAUAUACAGAUAACCAUUGAAGAUCCGCUCAUCGACAGAGAAGAGCAGCAGCAAAUAGAACAUUCUGUAACAGAGAUGCUCCGUAGUCUGACCGAACGCCAGCGAGAGAUCGUUUAUCUGCGUUAUAUUCAGGAAUACGACUAUGAACAGAUUGCCGAAUUGUUGCAUAUCAGCGUGCAUGGUUGCCGGAAGCUGCUUUCCAAAGCGAUGCAGAAGUUACGCGAUACGUAUGGAUUUAAGUCUAUGCUUUUUCUUCUUCUCUGAAACUUUUGCAUUAAAUUUUUGAUAUUUUUCAAAAGAAGGGGAUAAAAAAUAAGUUCUGUCGUCUUUAUAAAGAAAACAGGAUUCAAAUACAUUGUUACAUAUGCCAAGUUAUUCACAUUAUACGGACUUUUUAAAAGACGAACAGUUUAUCCGGUGGCAAUUGUUGCCGGAUGAAGAGCUGAAUGCUCGAUGGCAGGAUUUUAUGGAGAAACAUCCGCAUCUGGAUGAAGAGAUUCGGCAGGCCAUCCAUUAUUUGAAGACAACAGGCCUUAAUAAGAACAGAUUGAACGAAGAAGAUCGCAGGCAACUUUUUCGGAGAAUACAAUCCACUAUCGAACGAAACUCGAGAGCGAUAAAAGUACGCCGUAUGAUACGAUAUGCAGUGGCUUCGUGUGCCGCCAUUGCAUUGGCUAUCGCAGGAUUGCAAUUGUUCAGGUUCAUUCAUCCGGAAGAAAGAUCGGUAAUGCCAUUUGGUACGGAGCGGAUUGUCGGUAAUUUGUUGAACCAUGAAGCUAUUCAACUUAUUUCGGGCAAAGAGUCGCGAUCCUUCCAAAACAAUAUUAAAUUAAAUAUCAGUGAUAAAGGGGAUAUUACCGUUAUGCAAGAAAAUGAAAGAGAAGAGACGCUUGAUAUGGACAAGGCCUCGAUCAAUCGACUCGUUGUUCCAUACGGGAAGCGAACACAGUUAACUUUGUCUGAUGGUAGUAAAGUUUGGUUGAACUCAGGUACGGUGCUGGAGUUUCCGGCAGAAUUUUCGGCCCAAAAUCGUGAAAUAAACUUGAUGUCCGGAGAGAUAUACGCCGAAGUGGCUCCUGAUAAAACAAAAUCAUUUUAUGUGCAUACGUCUGAUUUUCAUGUAAAGGUGUACGGUACCAAGUUUAAUAUUUCACACUAUUCCGAUUCUCCCCAAUCUGUAACGUUAGUAGAAGGAAGCGUAGGCCUUCGAUCGGGAACUGACAGCGAAUGGU
This 2889-nucleotide ribosomal RNA is filed under the name Tannerella forsythia 3313. Its description in RNAcentral is "23S rRNA". Lineage: Bacteria; Pseudomonadati; Bacteroidota; Bacteroidia; Bacteroidales; Tannerellaceae. The record is from RNAcentral.